This 139-nucleotide small nucleolar RNA is filed under the name Triticum urartu. RNAcentral describes it as "Small nucleolar RNA Z247". It matches the Rfam family "Small nucleolar RNA Z247". Rfam says of the family: Z247 is a member of the C/D class of snoRNA which contain the C (UGAUGA) and D (CUGA) box motifs. Most of the members of the box C/D family function in directing site-specific 2'-O-methylation of substrate RNAs. The record is from Rfam by way of RNAcentral. Lineage: Eukaryota; Viridiplantae; Streptophyta; Magnoliopsida; Poales; Poaceae.
CAGCUGGAUGAGGAGGACAUCAUCAUCUACCUCCUCACCGGCCUGGACUCCACCUACGACCCACUCGUGACCUCUGUCACCACGCGGGCAGAUGAGAUCUCGCUCAAUGAGCUCUACUCUCAUCUCCUGGACUUCGAGC